This is a non-coding RNA of Paramuricea clavata, 1266 nucleotides long. The record is from the annotation of a GenBank genome assembly. NCBI's taxonomy places the organism in Eukaryota, Metazoa, Cnidaria, Anthozoa, Malacalcyonacea, Plexauridae.
GUCCGGAGUCUUUAAUUCAGUAAACUAUAUUCAUUAGAAGUUACAAUUCUUUAUAAAUAUUCUUCAUCUAUAUUACCUUGGCUUUUUAAUGGUUUUGUUUACGUAUAAAUAUGACCAUGUAAAAGGACGACUAUAAUAUAUUAGGCUACAGUGGCCAGGUUUCCCAGAGGUUCAGAGGUAAAUUAUUAGGUUGCUGUUUCAAAAAUUUUGGCAGUUUUACAAGUCAAUUAUAUCCUAUCUCAUAAUUUUUGAGUUUGCUUGAUAUGUAAAUAGGAUCACAUAUCACAAUCCAAAUAAUAUCAUUGUUAUUAUAUUCUCAUGUUUCUGACAAACACGAGAGUGAUGAAUGAUCUUUGAUCCUGAACCCAAUCAUAUACUGAAACAGCUGUGGAUUAAGAGAGAUACGACUACCUUAGAACUCCGAAAGUUGAGCAAGAAAGCACAAUAUUCAACAGUGAUUCAACAACGAAUUCAUUGCAACCAUUUGCAAAGACUAAUCAGACUAAUUUACAAAAGCUACAUUAUUGGACAUGGUUGACAGUGUGAUUACGUCAUAAACAGGAAAACGUGGACGCGGAAGUGUGACUAAAGAAGUUGAAAGUAACAAAAUGCUAUAUGUCAAGUGCUAGUUCAGUGUUCAGCUCUGGUUCGAGGGAUUAGUUACGAAUGUUGCUGGCUGCAUUUAGAAGACGCUUUCUUUCUGUUUAUGGUGAAAUCACGCUUGUAUAAAUAGACCUAGGUUAGCUUUUGUAAAUUAGCCAGUGAUGAAUUUGUAAUAAAUUCGAAAUAUCACUGUUGAAUAUUUUGCGCUCUAACUUGCUCUACUUAAAUACUACGUUUCACUUUAUUUCAUGAAGCUGUUGGCUGGCAACAGAUUUUGUAUUUUUCAUGAACAAGCUUUUGUCGGUAGGGAUGCAACUACCUGAAAAUAUAUAAGGAGAACUGCGACGUUUCGAGCGAAGACCCUUGGCUUGAAACGUCGAAAUCCUUCUUAUAUAUAUUUCCAGGUAGUUGCAUCUCUAUACCAACGAAAGCUUCAUUUGAUUGGCACUACCUACUACUGACACAGAUUGCUCAAGAUUAAAUCAUAAACUCACGAACUAGCACUGCAAAAAAUCCCUGAAAUGAAUAUUUGUCUAGAGUGCACAAACAGUAACUCGAAUUUUUGAGAAAAAUCACGCAAAUUUAUAUAUAUCAAACUUACUCAAUAUAUUGUUUGAGUAAAGAUUUUCUUUAUUCAAAAAACCUUGUCAUGACUUUUUUGCC